RNAcentral lists this ribosomal RNA (253 nucleotides) under uncultured bacterium. Its description in RNAcentral is "partial 16S ribosomal RNA". It matches the Rfam family "Bacterial small subunit ribosomal RNA", at positions 524 to 776 of the family's 1533-position model. The record is from RNAcentral.
UACGUAGGGUCCAAGCGUUAAUCGGAAUUACUGGGCGUAAAGGGCGCGUAGGCGGCCCGCUAAGUCAGACGUGAAAUCCCUCGGCUCAACCGGGGAACUGCGUCUGAUACUGGCAGGCUUGAAUCCGGGAGAGGGAUGCGGAAUUCCAGGUGUAGCGGUGAAAUGCGUAGAUAUCUGGAGGAACACCGGUGGCGAAGGCGGCAUCCUGGACCGGCAUUGACGCUGAGGCGCGAAAGCCAGGGGAGCAAACGGG